UUUGUUGCCAGCGGUCCGGCCGGGAACUCAAAGGAGACUGCCAGUGAUAAACUGGAGGAAGGUGGGGAUGACGUCAAGUCAUCAUGGCCCUUACGACCAGGGCUACACACGUGCUACAAUGGCGCAUACAAAGAGAAGCGACCUCGCGAGAGCAAGCGGACCUCAUAAAGUGCGUCGUAGUCCGGAUUGGAGUCUGCAACUCGACUCCAUGAAGUCGGAAUCGCUAGUAAUCGUGGAUCAGAAUGCCACGGUGAAUACGUUCCCGGGCCUUGUACACACCGCCCGUCACACCAUGGGAGUGGGUUGCAAAAGAAGUAGGUAGCUUAACCUUCGGGAGGGCGCUUACCACUUUGUGAUUCAUGACUGGGGUGAAGUCGUAACAAGGUAACCGUAGGGGAACCUGCGGUUGGAUCACCUCCUUACCUUAAAGAAGC
RNAcentral lists this ribosomal RNA (434 nucleotides) under Escherichia coli. Its description in RNAcentral is "bacterial SSU rRNA". It matches the Rfam family "Bacterial small subunit ribosomal RNA", at positions 1111 to 1533 of the family's 1533-position model. The record is from RNAcentral. Lineage: Bacteria; Pseudomonadati; Pseudomonadota; Gammaproteobacteria; Enterobacterales; Enterobacteriaceae.